Molecule: ribosomal RNA, 505 nt
Filed under: uncultured bacterium
Lineage: Bacteria
Description: bacterial SSU rRNA
Rfam family: Bacterial small subunit ribosomal RNA
Source: RNAcentral
GAUGAACGCUGGCGGCGUGCCUAAAACAUGCAAGUCGAGCGGUAAGGCUCUGCACUUAGUGUUUGAUCGAGGUAAUUUAUUACCACAGUAGACCAAUCGGAACCUCGGCGGGGGAAGUGAGGAAUAGGAAGAUCGAAUAAUAAGUGUAGAGUACACGAGCGGCGGACGGGUGAGUAACACGUGGGAAUCUACCCCAAACUGAGGGAUAAGCACCGGAAACGGUGUCUAAUACCGCAUAUGGUCUUUGAUUAAAGCUUCGGCGGUUUGGGAUGGGCCCGCGGCCUAUCAGCUUGUUGGUGGGGUAAUGGCCUACCAAGGCGACGACGGGUAGCCGACCUGAGAGGGUGAUCGGCCACACUGGGACUGAGACACGGCCCAGACUCCUACGGGAGGCAGCAGUUGGGAAUCUUGCACAAUGGGGGAAACCCUGAUGCAGCGACGCCGCGUGGAGGAUGACGGAUUUAGGUCUGUAAACUCCUUUUAUCGGGAAAGACUUAGGACGGUA